Molecule: ribosomal RNA, 404 nt
Filed under: uncultured bacterium
Lineage: Bacteria
Description: partial 16S ribosomal RNA
Rfam family: Bacterial small subunit ribosomal RNA
Source: RNAcentral
GACGAACGCUGGCGGCGUGCUUAACACAUGCAAGUCGAGCGGAGCGGCGAACGGGUUAGUAACGCGUGAGUAACUGCCCCCCUCUCUGGGAUAACAGUUGGAAACGGCUGCUAAUACCGGAUAGUGGGGGAUGACUCGCGUCCUAUCAGCUUGUUGGGGGGGUAGUGGACUACCAAGGCGAGGACGGGUAGCCGGCCUGAGAGGGGGACCGGCCACAUUGGGCUUAGAUACGGCCCAAACUCCUACGGGAGGCAACCGUGGGAAGUCUUGCACAAUGGGGGCAACCCUGAUGCAGCACCGCGCGUGCGGGAUGACGGCCUUCGGGUUGUAAACCGCUUUCGGCCAUGACGCGGUAGUGGCAGAAGAAGCACCGGCUAACUACGUGCCAGCAGCCGCGGUAAUUC